This 274-nucleotide ribosomal RNA is filed under the name uncultured bacterium. RNAcentral describes it as "partial 16S ribosomal RNA". It matches the Rfam family "Bacterial small subunit ribosomal RNA", at positions 523 to 796 of the family's 1533-position model. The record is from RNAcentral.
ACACGUACUGUGCGAACGUUAUUCGGAAUCACUGGGCUUAAAGGGUACGUAGGCGGCCUAUCAAGUCAGGUGUGAAAUCCCACGGCUCAACCGUGGAACUGCGCUUGAAACUGAUAGGCUUGAGGAAGACAGGGGUGUGUGGAACUUCUCGUGGAGCGGUGAAAUGUGUUGAUAUGAGAAGGAACACCGGUGGCGAAGGCGACACACUGGGUCUUUUCUGACGCUGAGGUACGAAAGCCAGGGGAGCGAACGGGAUUAGAAACCCCAGUAGUCC